UUUGGUGUAGCUCAGUGGUGGAGUGCAUGUACUGUAUGUAUGAAGUCCUGGGUUCAAUCCCCAGCUUCUUCC
This is a non-coding RNA of Dallia pectoralis (Alaska blackfish), 72 nucleotides long. Lineage: Eukaryota; Metazoa; Chordata; Actinopteri; Esociformes; Umbridae. The record is from the annotation of a GenBank genome assembly.